RNAcentral lists this ribosomal RNA (473 nucleotides) under uncultured Streptococcus sp. Its description in RNAcentral is "bacterial SSU rRNA". It matches the Rfam family "Bacterial small subunit ribosomal RNA", at positions 908 to 1382 of the family's 1533-position model. The record is from RNAcentral. Lineage: Bacteria; Bacillati; Bacillota; Bacilli; Lactobacillales; Streptococcaceae.
AAAUUGAGGGGGGCCCGCACAAGCGGUGGAGCAUGUGGUUUAAUUCGAAGCAACGCGAAGAACCUUACCAGGUCUUGACAUCCCGAUGCUAUUUCUAGAGAUAGAAAGUUACUUCGGUACAUCGGUGACAGGUGGUGCAUGGUUGUCGCCAGCUCGUGUCGUGAGAUGUUGGGUUAGGUCCCGCAACGAGCGCAACCCCUAUUGUUAGUUGCCAUCAUUCAGUUGGGCACUCUAGCGAGACUGCCGGUAAUAAACCGGAGGAAGGUGGGAUGACGUCAAAUCAUCAUGCCCCUUAUGACCUGGGCUACACACGUGCUACAAUGGUUGGUACAACGAGUUGCGAGUCGGUGACGGCGAGCUAAUCUCUUAAAGCCAAUCUCAGUUCGGAUUGUAGGCUGCAACUCGCCUACAUGAAGUCGGAAUCGCUAGUAAUCGCGGAUCAGCACGCCGCGGUGAAUACGUUCCCGGGCCUU